UACUGGCGAUAAAGACCAGUUGGAAGAAACAGGAGACCCUUGAGAAGAGGCAAACGGCGAGACCAACCACCACAUUCACAAUUCCCACCAAAAAAAUGUCGAAAAUCAUCACGAGAGAAGAGGAGAGAAUCACAAAGACCAUCAAGAUUGAGGCGACGGCGGUUGAUGUCGAGAUCACACGAGCUGGAGCAAAGACUGCUCUCAAAACAGCCAUGUUGGAGGCCAAGGAGAAGUACGUUCUGGCAGUCAAGGCCAUGGUUGAAGCCAAUCACGUGUAUCUUCAGCGAUUGGAGGAGUGGAAGACCAACGACAAUCUGGAAGAGUCUUUGAAGUCUUCAGCAAAGGAUUUGGCGUGAUUGGAGACGUUGAGACCAUACAAAGUAGACUGUUCCACGAAAACGGUCAAUAUCUCGAGAAUCCUCGGGAAAUGUGGGAUUUUGACCCAACUGGCGGAUUUCCAGCCUGCUAUUUUACCCCCAGAUGAACUCCACUCACUCAAAUUUCUCCUCUAACCAGCUAUACAGACGCGUGUUGUUCCGCACAUAUAGUUCAUUGUAUUUAUAUCCUUUACACGAGAGCUGGAGUUACGUGGUGGAAGGAUAGAAACCACGGUGAAAGGGAGUCAAUCGACAUCUAGUCAAUUGACAUCCAAGAGUCCCCAAAGAGAUUCGUUGUA
RNAcentral lists this unclassified non-coding RNA (676 nucleotides) under Yarrowia lipolytica. The record is from RNAcentral. Lineage: Eukaryota; Fungi; Ascomycota; Dipodascomycetes; Dipodascales.